This is a long non-coding RNA of Diorhabda carinulata, 240 nucleotides long. RefSeq lists it as uncharacterized. The record is from RefSeq and is a predicted model, not a curated record. The transcript has 3 exons. NCBI's taxonomy places the organism in Eukaryota, Metazoa, Arthropoda, Insecta, Coleoptera, Chrysomelidae.
GAUUGGAAAGAAUGGAUAGGACGAAAGUGAAAACUAAAAUCUCCAUCUUCUGGCGCACAAAAGGACAUAAAUAGUUCGAGAGAUGUAGAAUACAAUCUGUGAGCCCCCUGUGAGACCCAAGAACGUACUGUGACUUUUUGGACCGAGACAUAUGAAUUGUUUUGGUUCUUGCGAAUUCAAACUUGGUUUCCCAUGUUUUAAGCUGCAGUACCGGAAAAUCAGAGGAAAAUAGUUUGGGAA